CCAGGAGGAGCUUGCCCGGCCUAAUAGGAUGAGCGGAGAGCGAGCGAGCUUUUCGGGAUCCGUUGCAUUCUGGGGGAUUCGCGCUCUUUUCCUUUCCACAAGAUCAUCGAACCUGGAGUGUUUGGAUUUUGAUUAGAGGAAUCCAUCUGAUGGCAUUUUGGCAGCUUGAAUUCACUGUUCGUGGCACUUGACCAACUGGAGAUCAAGCCCUGUGAAGCACUAGCCCGCGGAACUUCUAUUUCACACUCACACAUGCUUCAUGGGAGGAAGAGGAAAGAGGCUGCACAACUGAAACUGAUAAGCCUAUAUCAGUUUCACUGAUCCCUUGUAGAAGGCUCAGCGUUAUUUUAAAAGUGUGUAAAGUUAUUUCUUCUUUU
This is a long non-coding RNA of Hemicordylus capensis (graceful crag lizard), 377 nucleotides long. RefSeq lists it as uncharacterized. The transcript is spliced from 2 exons. Lineage: Eukaryota; Metazoa; Chordata; Lepidosauria; Squamata; Cordylidae. The record is from RefSeq and is a predicted model, not a curated record.